UGCGGCGGCCAUGGCCCAGGUGAGACGCCCGGUCCCAUUCCGAACCCGGAAGCUAAGGCCUGGCACGGCGAUGGUACUGCACCCGACAGGGUGUGGGAGAGUAGCACGCCGCCGCAU
Bifidobacterium longum NCC2705 is the source of this 117-nucleotide ribosomal RNA. The record is from Rfam. NCBI's taxonomy places the organism in Bacteria, Bacillati, Actinomycetota, Actinomycetes, Bifidobacteriales, Bifidobacteriaceae.